Non-coding RNA from Paralichthys olivaceus (Japanese flounder), 1440 nucleotides. The record is from RefSeq and is a predicted model, not a curated record. NCBI's taxonomy places the organism in Eukaryota, Metazoa, Chordata, Actinopteri, Pleuronectiformes, Paralichthyidae.
AGAUGGUGGGAGCGAGGACUUGGCAGAUGCCCGCUCGCCCAGUCUAGACCCUCACCUGUGCCACGUCGGCCAAGGUGGCAGCAUCGACAGCGACUGCGCCUUUGAAGGAGACUACGCGGUGCCGACGCUCUCCAUGACCGAGGGCAUGCAGCACAUUCGCAUUAUGGAGGGCGUGUCCCGCUCGCUGCCCUCCUCCCCGCUGCUCACCCACCAGACCAUCAGUGUCCGGCUGCAGCCUGUGAAGAAGCUCACAGAUUUGACUGGAUCUCCUGGUUUCUUGACAUCACAACGUGUAUAACCUGGACCUGACGUCAUCUACCACAAACCUGCGCUGCGCCACGCCGGCAGCAUUUAACGAUAUCUUGUCCCCUCGGUGCGUUUUGGAAAGGAAGGCUGACAUUCGGGACAUCUCAAUCUCCCUCUCUCCACGCCUCCUUACCCAGCGGCGCGUUUAUAUGGCAUCUGUGUCUUCUGUGAAUAUUCGAGAUGAACACUGACAUUUGGGAUAUCUCAAUCUCCACGCCUCCUUACCCAGCGUAGCACCCAGAGAAAAUCGCUCUUCAAUUAUUGUCAUUAUUUCUUGCCUCAGCCGUCCCGGCCGCCACGGACCCUCCGAAUCAUUUGUUCUGCUGAAAGGAAAUGUGACAUUUUCAGCUCCACUGUCACAGGUGAAAUACAAAGAGUGACGGUUAAGUGCAGAAAGGAGUAAUUGAAAUGGAAGUACGAUGCCCUCAGGAGGAGCACUAAGGAACCAUUUGGAUUAAGUGCUGUGACAGACAUUCUUGUCAAAGUUUAGUCCUCUGCCAAGUAGUCUGGAUCUUUCAGUGAUGAGACAUCAUGGCAAAUAUCCAUUAUUCUCUAUUACAUGUAAACAUCAGGCUUUUACCGCUCAUGUAACAGCACGUCAAUGUAAAGUUAUCGGAGGGAGCGAAACAUUUCGUUUGUUGAGUCUUGUCGACAUGAAUGGCGAACGCUCGUGCAGAAUAUUUAAAGAAGGAACAGGUCAACAGCUGAACCGACUGAUGCAAAAAAAACAAAACCUUUCACUGCGAAUGUUUUGAGAAAAUAUCAGAAAAAGGGAAGUUUGAUGAAAUCUCGUCUCUGUGUUGACACACCUAAUCAAAUAUGCAGAGCUUCAUAUGAAAAGCUGCGGUUCAUCAGAGGGCAGAUGUUUGAUCACUCUGUAAAUAUUUAAAAGAGAGAAGCAAAAGGAUAUUUAUCUUAAAUCAACUAUAUUGAUGAGAAGAUGCUGAAAAGAUCCCUGUCAUUAAAGGAAUAAUCAUGUGUAUUGAUAUAAUUAAAACGAAUGAUGUUAAAAUGAUACUCGCACAGAAUUACAUAAAACAGCUAAUUUCAAGUUUUCAAGAUUUAACAGUUUCUAACUAAAAUAACGAACUUCUGAUUGUUGCUUAUGAAGAAAAAGACAAAGUUCUGUUGCGG